This 329-nucleotide long non-coding RNA is filed under the name Solanum tuberosum (potato). Its description in RNAcentral is "long non-coding RNA (STUB_LNC010970)". The record is from RNAcentral. Lineage: Eukaryota; Viridiplantae; Streptophyta; Magnoliopsida; Solanales; Solanaceae.
AGGCGAAUUGCACGUGCGAGAAGUAAGCAUGCAAAUAGAGGAUAUGGAUGGGAAAGUUUUGAGUGGGAAGGAUAGUUUGGUCAUUUUACAAGAAGUUAUUGAAGGAGGAAGAAAAAAAAGAAAGGAAAAUGAAGAAAAAGAAAAUUAUGAGAAUUUUUUGGAAUUAAAGAAAAAAUGGAAGGAAAAUAAACAAAAGAAAGAAAAAAAUUUGGAUAUGAUGUGUAUAGCGAGUGGAAUUACAAUUUUAAUUUCAUUUUGGACUUUAAUUGUGUUUGGUUCAAGAAGUAAUGGUAGUUAUUUUACUUAGAAAUAUGGUGGGAAAAAAAAGA